This 702-nucleotide ribosomal RNA is filed under the name Xuaniella delicata. RNAcentral's name for it is "Trogia delicata partial large subunit ribosomal RNA". It matches the Rfam family "Eukaryotic large subunit ribosomal RNA", at positions 135 to 825 of the family's 3401-position model. Lineage: Eukaryota; Fungi; Basidiomycota; Agaricomycetes; Agaricales; Porotheleaceae. The record is from RNAcentral.
CAUCCGAGUUGUAAUUUAAAGAAGUGUUACCCGCGCUGGACCGUGCACAAGUCCUCUGGAAUGGGGCGUCAUAGAGGGUGAGAAUCCCGUCUUUGGCACGGACUACCAGUGCUUUGUGGUGCGCUCUCGAAGAGUCGAGUUGUUUGGGAAUGCAGCUCAAAAUGGGUGGUAAACUCCAUCUAAAGCUAAAUAUUGGCGAGAGACCGAUAGCGAACAAGUACCGUGAGGGAAAGAUGAAAAGAACUUUGGAAAGAGAGUUAAACAGUACGUGAAAUUGCUGAAAGGGAAACGCUUGAAGUCAGUCGCGUUGGCUGAGAAUCAACCUUGCUCUUGCUGGGUGUACUUCUUAGUCGACGGGUCAGCAUCAGUUUUGACCAUUGGAUAAAGGCAGUUUGAAUGUGGCACCUUCGGGUGUGUUAUAGCUUUCUGUCGCAUACAGUGGUUGGGACUGAGGAACUCAGCACGCCGAAAGGCCGGGUUUUUAACCACGUUCGUGCUUAGGAUGCUGGCAUAAUGGCUUUAAUCGACCCGUCUUGAAACACGGACCAAGGAGUCUAACAUGCCCGCGAGUGUUUGGGUGGAAAACCCGAGCGCGUAAUGAAAGUGAAAGUUGAGAUCUCUGUCGUGGAGAGCAUCGACGCCCAUACCAGAUGUUUACUGACGGAUAUGCGGUAGAGCGUGUAUGUUGGGACCCGAAAGAUG